This 380-nucleotide ribosomal RNA is filed under the name uncultured bacterium. RNAcentral describes it as "bacterial SSU rRNA". It matches the Rfam family "Bacterial small subunit ribosomal RNA", at positions 29 to 412 of the family's 1533-position model. The record is from RNAcentral.
AUUGAACGCUGGCGGAAUGCUUUACACAUGCAAGUCGAGCGGCAGCGCGGGGCAACCUGGCGGCGAGCGGCGAACGGGUGAGUAAUGCAUCGGAACGUACCCAGUCGUGGGGGAUAACUGUCCGAAAGGACAGCUAAUACCGCAUACGUCCUGAGGGAGAAAGCGGGGGAUCGCAAGACCUCGCGCGAUUGGAGCGGCCGAUGCCGGAUUAGCUAGUUGGUAGGGUAAAGGCCUACCAAGGCGACGAUCCGUAGCUGGUCUGAGAGGACGACCAGCCACACUGGAACUGAGACACGGUCCAGACUCCUACGGGAGGCAGCAGUGGGGAAUUUUGGACAAUGGGGGCAACCCUGAUCCAGCCAUUCCGCGUGAGUGAAGAA